GUGGAUGGAGCUUGGUGGUAGAGUGCUUGCCUGGCACGCAGAAGUCCUGGGAUCGAUCCCCAGCACCCAUA
Molecule: transfer RNA, 71 nt
Filed under: Neotoma lepida (desert woodrat)
Lineage: Eukaryota; Metazoa; Chordata; Mammalia; Rodentia; Cricetidae
Rfam family: tRNA
About the family: Transfer RNA (tRNA) molecules are approximately 80 nucleotides in length.
Source: Rfam by way of RNAcentral